Molecule: ribosomal RNA, 206 nt
Filed under: uncultured bacterium
Lineage: Bacteria
Description: partial 16S ribosomal RNA
Rfam family: Bacterial small subunit ribosomal RNA
Source: RNAcentral
AGCGCAGGUGGGAAAGUAAGUCUGCUUUAAAAGUGCGGGGCUCAACCCCGUGAGGGAGUGGAAACUACUUUUCUUGAGUGCAGGAGAGGAAAGCGGAAUUCCUAGUGUAGCGGCGAAAUGCGUAGAUAUUAGGAGGAACACCAGUGGCGAAGGCGGCUCUCUGGACUGUAACUGACACUGAGGCUCGAAAGCCAGGGGAGCGAACG